CUGGGGGUAAGUACGUAUGACUUGUUGACUACCAGACGCACAACUUAUUGAAUAUUGACCGCAUAGGCAAUCAGAUUGAACUAGUGUGUUUUCACAAGCUGUUUUGAGGUCAAUAGCUUUGGCUAACAGGCGAGACUGACUCAUGGUGUUUGAUUCUGCCAAAUUGCUAUGAUAACUUAAAUUUGACUGAGCGUUUGAGGCCAAAAUGUGGAAAAUAUUUGGCCAGCCUGCCCCCUUUUUCCAUAUCAUGUACUCAUUAAUGGGUUCUUAGACAGCUUUGCCUUGUAAAUCAAUUCGUUAGUCGCUGG
Molecule: unclassified non-coding RNA, 308 nt
Filed under: Hevea brasiliensis (rubber tree)
Lineage: Eukaryota; Viridiplantae; Streptophyta; Magnoliopsida; Malpighiales; Euphorbiaceae
Source: RNAcentral